Molecule: microRNA precursor, 78 nt
Filed under: Rattus norvegicus (Norway rat)
Lineage: Eukaryota; Metazoa; Chordata; Mammalia; Rodentia; Muridae
Source: RNAcentral
GGUGCGUGAGGUGGUUGACCAGAGAGCACACGCUAUAUUUGUGCCGUUUGUGACCUGGUCCACUAACCCUCAGUAUCU